RNAcentral lists this ribosomal RNA (523 nucleotides) under Prosoeca longipennis. Its description in RNAcentral is "partial large subunit ribosomal RNA". It matches the Rfam family "Bacterial large subunit ribosomal RNA", at positions 1808 to 2604 of the family's 2925-position model. The record is from RNAcentral. Lineage: Eukaryota; Metazoa; Arthropoda; Insecta; Diptera; Nemestrinidae.
CAAAAACAUGUCCUUUAGGAUUGAAUUUAAGGUCUAGCCUGCCCACUGAAUUAUUAAAUGGCCGCAGUAUUUUAACUGUGCAAAGGUAGCAUAAUCAUUAGUCUUUUAAUUGAAGGCUUGUAUGAAUGGUUGGACAAAAUAUAUAUUGUUUCAUUUAAAUUUAUAGAAUUUUAUUUUUUAGUUAAAAAGCUGAAAUUUAAUUAAAAGACGAGAAGACCCUAUAGAUCUUUAUAAUUGUUGAAUUUAAUUUAUGAAGAAUAUUUUAUUUUUUAUUUAUAUAAUUAUUUUAUUGGGGUGAUAGUAAGAUUUAUUUAACUCUUGUAUAAUUUAAUACAUAAAUUAAUGAUUAAUUGAUCCAGUAUUAUUGAUUAGUAAAAUAAGUUACCUUAGGGAUAACAGCGUAAUUUUUUUAGAGAGUUCAUAUCGAUAAAAAAGAUUGCGACCUCGAUGUUGGAUUAAGAGAUAAGUUUGGGCGCAGCCGUUCAAAUUUAAAGUCUGUUCGACUUUUUGAUUCUUACAUGAU